Molecule: ribosomal RNA, 854 nt
Filed under: Salmonella enterica
Lineage: Bacteria; Pseudomonadati; Pseudomonadota; Gammaproteobacteria; Enterobacterales; Enterobacteriaceae
Description: partial 23S ribosomal RNA
Rfam family: Bacterial large subunit ribosomal RNA
Source: RNAcentral
GGGUUGUGAGGUUAAGCGACCAAGCGUACACGGUGGAUGCCCUGGCAGUCAGAGGCGAUGAAGGGCGUGCUAAUCUGCGAUAAGCGCCGGUAAGGUGAUAUGAACCGUUAUAACCGGCGAUACCCGAAUGGGGAAACCCAGUGUGAUUCGUCACACUAUCAUUAACUGAAUCCAUAGGUUAAUGAGGCGAACCGGGGGAACUGAAACAUCUAAGUACCCCGAGGAAAAGAAAUCAACCGAGAUUCCCCCAGUAGCGGCGAGCGAACGGGGAGGAGCCCAGAGCCUGAAUCAGCAUGUGUGUUAGUGGAAGCGUCUGGAAAGGCGUGCGAUACAGGGUGACAGCCCCGUACACAAAAAUGCACAUGCUGUGAGCUCGAAGAGUAGGGCGGGACACGUGGUAUCCUGUCUGAAUAUGGGGGGACCAUCCUCCAAGGCUAAAUACUCCUGACUGACCGAUAGUGAACCAGUACCGUGAGGGAAAGGCGAAAAGAACCCCGGCGAGGGGAGUGAAACAGAACCUGAAACCGUGUACGUACAAGCAGUGGGAGCACCCUUUGGGGUGUGACUGCGUACCUUUUGUAUAAUGGGUCAGCGACUUAUAUUCUGUAGCAAGGUUAACCGAAUAGGGGAGCCGGAGGGAAACCGAGUCUUAAUUGGGCGUUAAGUUGCAGGGUAUAGACCCGAAACCCGGUGAUCUAGCCAUGGGCAGGUUGAAGGUUGGGUAACACUAACUGGAGGACCGAACCGACUAAUGUUGAAAAAUUAGCGGAUGACCUGUGGCUGGGGGUGAAAGGCCAAUCAAACCGGGAGAUAGCUGGUUCUCCCCGAAAGCUAUUUAGGUAGCGCCUCGUGAA